RNAcentral lists this ribosomal RNA (504 nucleotides) under uncultured bacterium. Its description in RNAcentral is "SSU rRNA". It matches the Rfam family "Bacterial small subunit ribosomal RNA", at positions 26 to 521 of the family's 1533-position model. The record is from RNAcentral.
AGGACGAACGCUGGCGGCGUGCUUAACACAUGCAAGUCGAGCGGAAAGGCUCCUUCGGGAGUACUCGAGCGGCGAACGGGUGAGUAACACGUGGGUAAUCAACCUCUGAUUUCGGGAUACCCCGGGGAAACCCGGAUCAAUACCGGAUAAGGUGCGGGGACGUCGGUCGCCGUACCAAAGGUAGCUUCGGCCUCCGAUCAGAGACGAGCCCGCGGCCCAUUAGCUUGUUGGUGGGGUAAUGGCCUACCAAGGCGACGAUGGGUAGCUGGUCUGAGAGGACGAUCAGCCACACUGGGACUGAGACACGGCCCAGACUCCUACGGGAGGCAGCAGUGGGGAAUCUUGCGCAAUGGGCGGAAGCCUGACGCAGCAACGCCGCGUGCGGGAAGAAGGCCUUCGGGUUGUAACCGCUUUUGUCAGGGAAGAAAGCUCCGCGCUAAUACCUUGGAGUCAUGACGGUACCUGAAGAAUAAGCACCGGCUAACACGCGCCAGCAGCCGCGGU